CGGAGGGAGCUAGCGUUGUUCGGAAUUACUGGGCGUAAAGCGCACGUAGGCGGCUUUGUAAGUUAGGGGUGAAAGCCUGGAGCUCAACUUCAGAAUUGCCCUUAAGACUGCAUCGCUUGAAUCCAGGAGAGGUGAGUGGAAUUCCGAGUGUAGAGGUGAAAUUCGUAGAUAUUCGGAAGAACACCAGUGGCGAAGGCGGCUCACUGGACUGGUAUUGACGCUGAGGUGCGAAAGCGUGGGAGCAAACAGGAUU
This 253-nucleotide ribosomal RNA is filed under the name uncultured bacterium. Its description in RNAcentral is "partial 16S ribosomal RNA". It matches the Rfam family "Bacterial small subunit ribosomal RNA", at positions 526 to 779 of the family's 1533-position model. The record is from RNAcentral.